UGGGGGAUAUUGCACAAUGGGGGGAACCCUGAUGCAGCGACGCCGCGUGGGUGAAGGAGCGUUUCGGCGCGUAAAGCCCUAUCGGCAGGGAAGAAGAUGACGGUACCUGACCAAGAAGCCCCGGCUAACUACGUGCCAGCAGCCGCGUAAUCGUGCUCU
RNAcentral lists this ribosomal RNA (159 nucleotides) under uncultured bacterium. RNAcentral describes it as "partial 16S ribosomal RNA". It matches the Rfam family "Bacterial small subunit ribosomal RNA", at positions 355 to 531 of the family's 1533-position model. The record is from RNAcentral.